GUCACAGCUACACUAGAGGGCACUUGAACCCCACUUUUACUGCAGACCAAGUCAUUGACUCAGGUAUUGGUGGUGCUUUUGGAAGGGGGGCGAGGAAUGGGGAAGUGGAGGAGGGCAACGGGAGGGGUAUAUUUAUUUUAACAUCUUCAAUAAACCCAUCGGUAUUUGAGGAAGCUUCCACGUCAGACUUUGGGGACCAAAACCUUAAUUAUACAAUAUAAUUGUUGUUAAUGGAACGUGUACAUUUCAACCCAGCAAGAUUGGUGGUGUUUAAUGCCAGCAUGACAUAUUUCCCAAAUUGUGGUCUUUAUUUGUAUAAAUAGGAAAGAAGCAAAAAUUGCAUCAGCUCUCUGCAUAAUGAAGAGGGAGGGAAGUGCAGCCUGUGCUGUGGUGGCCAGAUGCUCUUUUAUCUCUUUUCAAAUCAACAUGCAGAGCUGGUGGCCCUCAAACAGAAAGCAUCUUUCCCAAGGGAUGGCAGAACUGUACGUUUGGAAUGAUAACAUUCCAUAAAUAAAUAAAAAAGAUUAUUAAGAACGCUGUGUAAAUCUCCUAGUCAAACACCCCUUCAAGCAACCAUCAUCAGUAAUUCAGUUUGGUCCCUUAAUCCCACUGUAUACAAAUACACAGCAUAAAUACAGUAUUUAACAAGCACCAGAGAGAAAGCAGCACUCUUGCAAUAAAGACUCAUUUAGGAAGAAUGAACAUGCCUUGCCCCCAGUCCUGCUGGCCGCCCCCAGGAUUCAGUUCUUGAUUUGACUCUCCCACCUGGAUGAGAUGUCCAGCUCACAUGACUGAAUCCCUGGCAUAACCCCCUAUUUAAAUAAAACCUAAAAAUAUUAACUUUGGUCCCACAACCUUUUUGUUCCACAUCAGGGAAUUCACAGGGUAUCCAUUAGAAACCAUAUCACAUUUACAAGGCUCCACGGACUUCCUUAAGCCUUGAUGCUCCAACGGGUUAUACAGGCUAAGAGGUGGGGAUGAGUGCAGAUCCGAAGUGGGUGGGUGAGGAUCUCCCAGCCUCUCAGCCCUGGCACGGGGACUUGCUUUUCUCCAGGCUAUCUGGUUCUCUCUGUUUAUUCUCUGCCUGCUUUCCUUGUGUCUCUCGUUGUUUCUCUCUAAAUCUCCAUCUUUCCCUCUCUGUCCCUCUCCCCCUCCCUCCUUUCCUCUCUGUCUUUGUAACUCUCCCUCAAUUUUACUCAUUUUAGUGGUUCACUCUUUGGAUCUAGGACCUUGGUCAGCAUGAGCAUUGCACUCACAGAGAGGGUGACACGUUUCCUGAUGCCUGAAAGAGAGAAAUAAGAUGGCCCAGGAGACUCCAGGGCACUCUGCCCACUAAGCAUCUUUUUGUGAGUGAGAGGCCAUUUCUCCAGCUGUCCAUUGCAGCAUUCCACAACCCAGACUGCUGCUGUCCAUGCUGAUUGGUGUUUGAGAGGGCAGAAUGGACCCCUGAUUCACUUCCCAUCAGGAACACUUGCCACCAGGAAACCCCCUCAAUCUACUCUUCCCUUGCCCUUUAAGACCUUCUAUUUCAGGGUCCUCCCCCUGCCAGAUUGAAAGAUGACAGACUGAGGACAAGCCCUAAGGGGACAGAGAGUCUAAGGCUCCAUGUUCCAACUCUGCAAGCCCCACCUCAGCUCAACUCAACACCUUAGACCUUCAGCUCACAGUUCUCUACAGGACACUUGUGAAAACUUGGAAAAUAUUAAUUGCUUAACAGUCCGCUUGCAAGUUGAACAGGCAGAUAAGGAGGAAAAGCCUUUCUUCUUUGACAAGCUUUCCAUGAAACAUAACCCCAGGUUUGUUUCUUCACUUAUUUUUCCCUUUAAUAAAUGUGAUGGGGUAGUUUGGAGUGAGUCUGAGCAUUGUGGUUAAAUAGGAAAAAAUGCUGCUUCGGACCUCAAUUACAUUGCACAAAAGCUAUCCCAGAGGUCUGUCUCCCGCUCCCCUGUGCCUGAUGCUUCAGCAGCUGCUCAAGGAGAGACAAUUCCCUGAGGUGCCUCUGGCCCUGGUGCUGUCGAGCCAGUGCAGGGGAGGCCAGGAGACCCCACAGCUGGGUAAGGCUUCUCCCUUUGAGGCAGCCUCCAAGACUUAAAGGAAUUCUUGUUUACUACAAACUGGCUAUGAACUACAGCCCUUGAUGUUUUCUAUGCCUGGGCCUCUGUGUGUGAUUUCAGAAAGCCAUGUAAAAAAAAACAAGAGACCUUAGGUCAGAUAUGGUAAAUAGAGUAUACAUGUUUAUCCUUCUCCCGCCUAAAUCCUGAUUGAAAUGACAAUAAAAGAAUUAAAAAGAUGUAAACCCACAAGUCAGCAAGAACAGGAGAGGUAACAGCUGUAGGUAAGAAGUCAGAUUUGUGGAGCGGGGAAGGGAUGGGGAAAUGGUAAUUACCUCAGCAGAGGAGAAGAGGCUAUAAUGGAAGAACACACAAGUUCACCCACAGAACCCUUGACAGACUGGACAUCUGCACACCAUAGCUUCCGUGGAAGCUGGCAGGAGGCCUGGGCUUGGAGCAGAGAUACUGACUAAAAGUCUGUAUUUGUACACAGUAUGUAUCUGCUUCUUCCCUCACUCCACCCCAGCUCACCAAACACUAGCUCUUUCCCUCUGGCCUCUCCCAACCCAUUCCCUGCUCCAUCCUUUCCAGGCAGGUAAACAUGUCUUCUUUAGAGAACUUCAACCAGAGAAUCUUCAUGUUCUGGUAACAACAGGGUGUGAGGCUGAAAACAAGGCACUAGGUGGAAGUCUGUCUUCCAAGUGCCCUUUCUGUCUCUGCUUCCAGAACACGAGUGCCCAGAUGUAUACAUUCCAGGCAUGAAAAUGAAGGAUAAUUCUCCAAAAAGACUGACUGGCCCUUGGGACAAGAUCCACAGAGACUUCAUCUGAAACGUUCUUCAUCAAUCAAGUAAGCCCACUCAUCUAUUGAUAAUGCUUACUGAGGGGCAAGCCACCCCAUGCACAUAAAGUCUCCUCUUAGCUUUUUAGUGUACCACUUCUUAAUCAUAAAUAAACAUUUAAGGAUCACCAGACAUUUGUAGAAGACCUCAACUAUGAAAAAAGAGAACUUAACAAAUAAACUUUUUUUGGAAGGCUGAGAAGACAUAGAGACAAUAGAGGGAGCAGAAAAAUAAAUAACAAAAACAAACAACCCUAUAGAUAUUAUUGUCAUCUGAAAGUUUUGAGAAAGUAUUGCAUUCAUGAAACAAGAAUAAGAUGCAAUUAAAAAGUAUAAUCGGAGUGAAAAAAUGAAUUAGCCAAGAUAAAAAAUAUUCAAUAGAACACUUGGAAGAUAAGGUUGAGUAACUCUCCUUGAAAAGCCAAAGAAAAAGAUGAGAAUGAAGAGAAAGAAAAUUAGGGGACCAAGCCAAUGUAUCCAACAUCUGAAAUUCCAAGAAGGGAAAGUGGAGAGAAUUAUGGGGUGGAAAUAAUCUAAUAAGUGGUUUAAUUUCCCAGAACUGAAAGACAUGAGUUUCCAGAGAAGGCCCAGCAUCAUGUAUUUAAAACAACAACCAAAAAAACUACCUAAGCAAAUAUUAUGAAAUUUCAGAAUAUCAGAAAUAGGACAGAUUGUAAGUUGACAGAGAAGAAAACCUGUCACAAAGGAUAAGGAAUAAAAAUGGCAUCAUGCCUCUUACUAGCAACACUGAGGCCAGACAACAACAUAACAAUUGAUAUUCUGAGAAAAAAAGCAUGUUCAGUCUACAUCUAUACCAAGACACACUCUUAAUCAAGUAUGAGGGUAAAACAAUGAACUUUCAGAUAAACACAGACUAAGGUAAUAUGCCUCUUAUGCACCCUUUCUCAAGACUAACUGGAGUCAGUGUUUCCCUAAAAUGUUUAAUCAGCUAACAAGGUGCUAUGAUGUGGAUAUUUGACCCUCCAAAUAUCAUGUUGAAAAUUGAUCCCCAUUGGUAGAGGUAGGGCCUGGUGGGAGGUAUGGGUUGUGGAGGUGGAUCCCUCAUGAAUGGCUUGGUGCCAUUCUCGCAGGAAUGAGUGAGUUCUCACUCUUAGUUCUCAUGAAAAUUCGUUGUUGAAAAGAACCUGGCACCUACUCCCCAUUGCUCUUUCUUCCCUUCGCCAUGUGAUGCCUGCUGCCCUUCAUCUUCCACCAUGACUGGAAGCUUCCUGAGGUCCCCACCAGAAGCAG
This 4142-nucleotide long non-coding RNA is filed under the name Homo sapiens (human). RNAcentral's name for it is "HSALNT0393436". Lineage: Eukaryota; Metazoa; Chordata; Mammalia; Primates; Hominidae. The record is from RNAcentral.